This 915-nucleotide ribosomal RNA is filed under the name uncultured archaeon. RNAcentral describes it as "bacterial SSU rRNA". It matches the Rfam family "Archaeal small subunit ribosomal RNA", at positions 1 to 922 of the family's 1478-position model. The record is from RNAcentral.
UUUCCGGUUGAUCCUGCCGGACCUGACUGCUAUCGGAUUGAUACUAAGCCAUGCGAGUCAUUGUAGUAAUACAAGGCAUACGGCUCAGUAACGCGUAGUCAACCUAACCUAUGGACGGGAAUAACCUCGGGAAACUGAGUAUAAUGCCCGAUAGAACAUUAUGCCUGGAAUGGUUUAUGUUCCAAAUGAUUUAUCGCCGUAGGAUGGGACUGCGGCCUAUCAGUUUGUUGGUGAGGUAAUGGCCCACCAAGACUAUUACAGGUACGGGCUCUGAGAGGAGUAGCCCGGAGAUGGGUACUGAGACACGGACCCAGGCCCUAUGGGGCGCAGCAGGCGAGAAAACUUUGCAAUGUGCGAAAGCACGACAAGGUUAAUCCGAGUGGUUUCUGCUAAAGGAACCUUUUGUUAGUCCUAGAAACACUAACGAAUAAGGGGUGGGCAAGUUCUGGUGUCAGCCGCCGCGGUAAGACCAGCACCUCAAGUGGUCAGGAUGAUUAUUGGGCCUAAAGCAUCCGUAGCCGGAUCUGUAAGUUUUCGGUUAAAUCUGUACGCUCAACGUACAGGCUGCCGGGAAUACUGCAGAUCUAGGGAGUGGGAGAGGUAGACGGUACUCGGGAGGAAGGGGUAAAAUCCUUUGAUCUCUCGAUGACCACCUGUGGCGAAGGCGGUCUACCAGAACACGUCCGACGGUGAGGGAUGAAAGCUGGGGGAGCAAACCGGAUUAGAUACCCGGGUAGUCCCAGCUGUAAACUAUGCAAACUCAGUGAUGCAUUGACUUGUGGUCAAUGCAGUGCUGCAGGGAAGCCGUUAAGUUUGCCGCCUGGGAAGUACGUACGCAAGUAUGAAACUUAAAGGAAUUGGCGGGGGAGCACCACAAGGGGUGAAGCCUGCGGUUCAAUUGGAUUCAACGCCGGA